This 253-nucleotide ribosomal RNA is filed under the name uncultured bacterium. RNAcentral describes it as "partial 16S ribosomal RNA". It matches the Rfam family "Bacterial small subunit ribosomal RNA", at positions 524 to 776 of the family's 1533-position model. The record is from RNAcentral.
UACGGAGGGUGCAAGCGUUAUCCGGACUUACUGGGUUUAAAGGGUGCGUAGGUGGGUAGAUAAGUCAGCGGUGAAAUCUCCAGGCUUAACUUGGAAACUGCCAUUGAUACUAUCUGUCUUGAAUAUCCUGGAGGUGAGCGGAAUAUGUCAUGUAGCGGUGAAAUGCUUAGAUAUGACAUAGAACACCUAUUGCGAAGGCAGCUCACUACGGGAUUAUUGACACUGAGGCACGAAAGCGUGGGGAUCAAACAGG